AGCGGGGAAGAGUAGCUUGCUACUUUACCUAGCGGCGGACGGGUGAGUAAUGCUUAGGAAUCUGCCUAUUAGUGGGGGACAACAUCUCGAAAGGGAUGCUAAUACCGCAUACGUCCUACGGGAGAAAGCAGGGGACCUUCGGGCCUUGCGCUAAUAGAUGAGCCUAAGUCGGAUUAGCUAGUUGGUGGGGUAAAGGCCUACCAAGGCGACGAUCUGUAGCGGGUCUGAGAGGAUGAUCCGCCACACUGGGACUGAGACACGGCCCAGACUCCUACGGGAGGCAGCAGUGGGGAAUAUUGGACAAUGGGGGGAACCCUGAUCCAGCCAUGCCGCGUGUGUGAAGAAGGCCUUUUGGUUGUAAAGCACUUUAAGCGAGGAGGAGGCUACCGAGAUUAAUACUCUUGGAUAGUGGACGUUACUCGCAGAAUAAGCACCGGCUAACUCUGUGCCAGCAGCCGCGGUAAUACAGAGGGUGCAAGCGUUAAUCGGAUUUACUGGGCGUAAAGCGCGCGUAGGUGGCCAAUUAAGUCAAAUGUGAAAUCCCCGAGCUUAACUUGGGAAUUGCAUUCGAUACUGGUUGGCUAGAGUAUGGGAGAGGAUGGUAGAAUUCCAGGUGUAGCGGUGAAAUGCGUAGAGAUCUGGAGGAAUACCGAUGGCGAAGGCAGCCAUCUGGCCUAA
Molecule: ribosomal RNA, 678 nt
Filed under: uncultured Pseudomonadales bacterium
Lineage: Bacteria; Pseudomonadati; Pseudomonadota; Gammaproteobacteria; Pseudomonadales
Description: bacterial SSU rRNA
Rfam family: Bacterial small subunit ribosomal RNA
Source: RNAcentral